RNAcentral lists this ribosomal RNA (406 nucleotides) under uncultured bacterium. RNAcentral's name for it is "partial 16S ribosomal RNA". It matches the Rfam family "Bacterial small subunit ribosomal RNA", at positions 28 to 526 of the family's 1533-position model. The record is from RNAcentral.
GACGAACGCUGGCGGCGUGCUUAACACAUGCAAGUCGAACGAGUGGCGAACGGGUGAGUAACACGUGAGUAACCUGCCCCUUCUUCUGGAUAACUGCUUGAAAGGGUAGCUAAUACGGGAUAGUGGGGGAUGGGCUCGCGGCCUUUCAGCUUGUUGGUGGGGUGAUGGCCUACCAAGGCGGGGACGGGUAGCCGGCCUGAGGGGGUGGGCGACCAGACGGAGACGGAGUCACGGCCGGGACUGCUACGUGAGGCAGCAGGGGGGAGGAUUGAAUAAUGGGUGGGAGCCUGAUGCAGCGACGCCGCGUGAGUGAGGGAGGCCGUCGGGUGGUAAGCAUCUUUCGCCAGUGAAGCGGUAGCUGGAUAAGAAGCGCCGGCUAACUACGUGCCAGCAGCCGCGGUAAUAC